GAGCGCACUCUGUGGAGAAACUGAGGAACUUGUAGGUUUAAAAAUGGUUUAGACAACUAAAGUGCUGAUUGACUGACGGUAAUUGAAAUAACAGUCUUUAUCAAAGUAUUAAACAUGAUAAGGUUAAUAUAUCACAUUUGUUAAGUGCACGCAGAUUGCUUUCUGACAUGAUUAUUUACGUAAUUUUUAUUGUAACCGACAUUAGAUAGUUUCUGGUGGUUUCUAACGUUAGUUCUUGCUUCUACCGCUAGGGCUCUUUGUAGUAAUACUGUACGUAAUAUACAUGUAUAAGAAAACAACUUGAAUUCGCUGUAGCAAAGCAUAGAGGAUUUCACUACGACGAAUGCACUAGGUGCCGGUUUGGCUGAACGAAAAAUCGAGCAGGUGGAAGAGAAGGAAUUCAGAUAGUAAGAGGGGCUUUGCAUAAGGCCGCUGGAGAACUUUCGAUUGCCACACAGACUGCGCACGAUUGUAUUCUGUUUUGGCGACCUUCGGCAAUGUCUGUCACAGCGGAACUACGGUUGAAGCUGUUUUAAAAUCAUGGCAAAGCAUAAGGCCAAUUUUUAUCCACAUCCGUCGUAUGCAACUUUACACAGAAAUGCCGGACCAUAAUAACCUAAAAGUCUGAAAUAUUUAUGCCGGUCUCUAUCCACUGUAAAUACUACAUGAUAUUAAAGACAUAUGCGCAUUCUCCUUACGACCAACUGGCACACAAUCGAAUGUCUCGUCCUUGCGAAUUAUAUAACCUCAUAACAAAACGCAAACAAGUAAAAUCACUGAAUGAUAUUCGAGAAUUAUACCUGAAACGGCUGACAGGACAUCCUUCGAGUUAAGAAAAUAAUAUCGUUACAGGUAUUAAAAAAUUAUCAGAGUGUACUCUGAGUACACUUUGAAUUUUAUCGUUCGUCAUCAUUGCCUCUAGAGUCUGCUUAUUAUACUCAGUGUAUACCUAUGCAACUCGAGUGCAAUCGUAUCUGCAUGUUGGCUACGUGUCAUUAUGUCGCAAGAAAAGAACAGUUCGCAUGAACCAAUUACCCGAGAAUCGAUCCUCGACACGUGCCAAUAUAUUAUUUAAGAUUGUGCUGUCGAUACUGGUGUAGAGCCCUCUCAUGGAAAACAUGGACGAACAACUGCCACAGACUUUUUAAAAGUAUUGUGACGUUUCCGGGAGCAGUCAGUACACUCUGAGUCAGCAUGAUAGAAAUAGCCAAGAGGCCACACGUAUUACCAUGCAGGUUUUACUAAUAGAGACCAUUCGUUGAGAACUAUGCGAUCGAUUAAUCCACAGGGAGAUAUUGGAUGUCUUACUGCUAUAUAUAUGUAUAGCUGAAGCCAAGUAUCUUCCUAUCUCAAUGACUGUUGUAUUACAUUGUUUGAAAGGGUUGCAUAGGAAGCCUUCCUAGGUCAGCGGAGUCUGAUUCUGGGAGUGUUCGGACUGACCUGGGAAAGCAUUUUCAACGUGUAAUGAUGAUGGCAAGACAAGCAAUCGACACUAGAUAAGGUGUUGACGUCAUUAAUGACGAUACAUAACAAAUAUGUCAACGAGCUUAACAGUGAGCCUAAAAAGAGCC
This is a long non-coding RNA of Cephus cinctus (wheat stem sawfly), 1571 nucleotides long. RefSeq lists it as uncharacterized. The record is from RefSeq and is a predicted model, not a curated record. The transcript is spliced from 3 exons. NCBI's taxonomy places the organism in Eukaryota, Metazoa, Arthropoda, Insecta, Hymenoptera, Cephidae.